RNAcentral lists this ribosomal RNA (411 nucleotides) under uncultured bacterium. RNAcentral describes it as "bacterial SSU rRNA". It matches the Rfam family "Bacterial small subunit ribosomal RNA", at positions 28 to 429 of the family's 1533-position model. The record is from RNAcentral.
GACGAACGCUGACGGUGUGCUUUAGACAUGCAAGUCGAACGAGAAAGCCCUUCGGGUUAGUAAAGUGGCGAACGGGUGAGUAACACGUGGGCAAUCUGCCCCUCGCAGGGGGACAACCGGAGGAAACUCCGGCUAAUACCCCGUAAGUUCAAAGGGAGGCAUCUCUCUUCGAAGAAAGGUAGCUUCGGCCAUCCGGCGAGGGAUGAGCCCGCGGUGCAUUAGCUAGUUGGUGGGGUAACGGCCUACCAAGGCGACGAUGCAUAGCUGGUCUGAGAGGAUGAUCAGCCACACUGGGACUGAGACACGGCCCAGACUCCUACGGGAGGCAGCAGUCGGGAAUCUUGCGCAAUGGGCGAAAACGCCUGACGCAGCAAACACCGUGUGUGUGAGGAAGGCCUUAAGGGUCGUAAA